Molecule: long non-coding RNA, 2836 nt
Organism: Hylaeus anthracinus
Lineage: Eukaryota; Metazoa; Arthropoda; Insecta; Hymenoptera; Colletidae
Exons: 3
Source: RefSeq, a predicted model, not a curated record
UUUUAUGCCCGGUAUAAUUCGCCAUGAUAUUCUACAUUCGUACGUAAUCACUGCGCUACGUGUGCGUAAUUUUGGGUCGUUGCGAAUAAAUUGGGCACUGUUGCUUCCAGGAUUUCUCGACUUGUGCAAGAGACGUCAGGUAAGAGUUUCGCCUACUGCGCCGCGACGGUACCAGGGCCACCUGAGCUUUCGUUCGAGCGUAAAUCAGUUUUCUCUGAACGAAGUCGAGGGACAUGUACUUUUUACUGCCGUGGCUCGUUUCGUUUCUAGAAAUUAACGAAACACUAUUUGUUUUUCACCGACCUCGUCGGCGUCUAGAUAUAUAUCCACAAUCGCGUGCAAUUAAUUGAUUGCAAGAAGGGGAAAAAAAAGGAUGACAAAUAGAAAUAAAUUUUUGUAACUUAUAGUCGUCUAUAUUCUUCGCUUAAAUGUUUCACGAUCGUUGUUUUCCAUGAUCUGUGGCGAUAAGAGCGACGUAGAAAGUGGGCCUAGGUUUGUUUUUACAUAGCUUUCAAAGUUACGCAACACCAACGAAACCGAUUCCAAAUACUUCGAGUGAAAAGGCAGAUGUAAUACUCAUCGCCUGAUCAUAAAUCACAAAAGGCAUAAACUUCUGCACACACAGAUGUGAAAGUAAUUUAAAAUUGUCAAUGUUACGGUCAAAUAAUUUAAUUUAAUCAUUUAGUAGAAUAAUGUCAUUUACAAAUAUCUAAUUUGAAAACGUUUGAAACAUUUUAUCAAUGUUUUGAACUUCAUGAAAAAAAGAAAUACUUUGUAGUAGGUUGUCUCAAAAGAUUCUUUCGCUUUAUUACGAAGUAAUACGUGCACAAUAUUUUAUGUUUUAUGUUACAUUACUGAAUUGUGCACGAUUCAUUUUGCUCCAUUACUGUCACAACAUGAAUAUCUAUGAAAUUAGAUUGUCUAUUUAUAGAAACACGACCACAUAAAAUAAUUGAGUGCAACUCGCGAAAGAAACUUUCGGGACUACCUAAUACAUGUAUUUCAUUUCAUUUCUAUAACCAGUAUCAGUCACACAUCAAGAUCUCUAGUAACAGUAGGAAAUGAUAAUAAAGAAGUGUGUAUAAAUAUAAUGAAAUCGAUUAGCGCGCGACUAAAUAUUGAUCUUCCCUUGCGUCGACAAUAGUGUUCCACCGCAACAAGAGACAGCAAAAAUAUUUAAAUUAAUAGUUAAUAGUUUUCUUUAUCAUUUAUGAAAUGGAACAGUGCCAGUAGUUAACUAGAAGUCCCAUUUGCGAUGCGAGAGAAAGAAAAAACGCAAAACUGUAAUUGAUCCACAACCUUCGACUUCUUGUAAUAUUAUUUCACUCGUCGAGUUUUCCAUCGCGCUCGAUAUUUUGAUCCACGUGCCAAUGCGAGUACUUAGUUGUGCAUGCGAGUCGUUCUUACACAAUCAAUUACGUUCCUUGAAUGUUCUCGCGCGUAAUGACGCGCUCGUUCGUAGCCACUCAUUAUCGCGGCAGUUCGCGAAGAAUGGGUGACCUUAAUAGUUUCGACCAGUCUAACCACCAGCGAAUGAUCCCAAGCAAUCACGAAUAAACGCUCGCAAUUCGCGGCCUGCCAUUCAUUUGUUGGGUAAUUUUGCUAGCGACGUGCAUCGUGUAACCUUUGCAGUUGGAUCACGUGUAACGAGUGAUGGAACCGCGACGAGCGACCACAGACUUAAUCUUCUUACUUAAAUCCAAACGGUGGUGGAUAAACGAAUGAAGCGUUACUACGGUCACUAUGAAUGAAAAAGUAUAUUCAAUGGUCGGUAAUAAUUAUUCAAAAAAUAGAAAUCUAACUUGUAACUUAGAGAUACAUAUAGGAAUUAGGAAAUUAUUAAAAGUCGCGAUAAUUUUGUAGCACAAAAUUAGAAAGUUAGAGUUACGAUGAUGUAUUGUGUUUAAUGUCGUACAGUUUCUUGAGCAAUGUAUUUUAUAUUUCUUCAUCUGUUUAUGUUGUAAGGGUUACACACAGUCAUGUUAUGAUCUCUUGUUUAGAAUUCAGAAUUAUUUGUUCAGAGUUGCUGUGAAGGAUUUCCACGAAUUAGUUGUUUACAUUAUGGAUCAACAGGACUACAAGCAGUUAUAUUAUUAACACGUUGGCUGCCAAGUUAAAACUCAUGAAAAUUAUUGCAAAGUGAAAAUUAUGUCUCGAGACUAUUGAAGAUUAGGUAAGUUUGCAUUUGUCGUGGUAUAGAAUUUUUUAACGUCGCCAAAUUCACGAAUCCUAACCAGAUUUAUUUUAGUCCCUUAACGAAAAGUUCUGUCACCUGUCUAGGUGACGUGGCGACCAACGUGUUAAUUCUUCUUAUCUAAAAUUGUAAAUGGGAAUUAUCAAUGGACUAGUUACCAAACUAGUGCAUGAACAAAUAUCCAUUUGCACCUUGAAAAGUCAAUACUCUGAAGUCGAUUUAUGGAAUUAGACGAUGAUAGACUUCGCGGACACAGUAUGAAUAGCAGGUAUCGGCGAGGCAUCAACAGAACAGAAACGACGAAGGUUUGGUUGGAACGUUACUCGUAGCAACCACUCACAUCACUACUAUACAUUCUUCCGCUGAUUAGAUGAUCUAUAUCAGAAAUAUGAGGCCAUCUGUCCAUUGUUAUUUAUUUUCUAUCGACUGUAUUUAUACAUCUAUUUCUCUGGGUGUCAUUCGACGUGGACGUUGCAGAAAUGUGAAUAUUUAAGAUAUUAAUACAUAAUUUCCUUUCUCUUAAGAAACUUGACAUUUCAACUGCAUUCACUUUUCUUCCCGAGUAUUUUUAUCGGCAUACGUUACUAUCGAGGUUAAGCCUCAUAUCAAGCAUUUAACUGUUCCACGUCAACGUAAUAUAAA